Molecule: long non-coding RNA, 418 nt
Filed under: Mus caroli (Ryukyu mouse)
Lineage: Eukaryota; Metazoa; Chordata; Mammalia; Rodentia; Muridae
Description: lncRNA (MGP_CAROLIEiJ_G0013400.1)
Source: RNAcentral
GCCUCUGCUGCUGCUGCGGCUGCAGCGGCAGCUGCUUCUGCUGUGGCCUCCUCCAACGCUACUGUUAAUGCUGUGGUCGCUGCUGCUGUCACUGCUGCUCUCGCAGCGGUUACUGCUAUUGCUGACCACAAAGGCAAUGAACCAACUCCUCAAAGGCACAGUGGGGCUACUAAUGACAAGGAUUUCGCACUUAAGGCAAAAAAAGAACAUGAUAAGAGAGAACCUGCCACGCAUUUGAUGGAAAUGGGAGAUUCCAUGGCAACGUUUGAGAAGUGUGCUGCAGACACGAGUGCUGUGUUACUGUUGAAGCAGAGCUGUGCUCGCCAACUCCAUCGGGACGGACAAAGCCCUGCAAAGAGCACAUCUAAAGAAAAGCACGAGGCCAAGAAGCAAAUCAAUGGUGUGGAGGGCCUGGAAG